This 633-nucleotide ribosomal RNA is filed under the name uncultured bacterium. RNAcentral describes it as "bacterial SSU rRNA". It matches the Rfam family "Bacterial small subunit ribosomal RNA", at positions 28 to 684 of the family's 1533-position model. The record is from RNAcentral.
AACGAACACUGGCGGCAGGCUUAACACAUGCAAGUCGAACGCCCCGCAAGGGGAGUGGCAGACGGGUGAGUAACACGUGGGAACGUGCCCUAAGGUUUGGAAUAUUCCCGGGAAACUGGGAGCAAUACCAAAUGUGUCCGCAAGGAGAAAGAUUUAUCGCCUUAGGAUCGGCCCGCGUCAGAUUAGGUAGUUGGUGGGGUAAAAGCCUACCAAGCCGACGAUCUGUAGCUGGUCUGAGAGGACGACCAGCCACACUGGGACUGAGACACGGUCCAGACUCCUACGGGAGGCAGCAGUGGGGAAUAUUGCACAAUGGGGGAAACCCUGAUGCAGCCAUGCCGCGUGUGUGAAGAAGGCCUUCGGGUUGUAAAGCACUUUCAGCGAGGAGGAAAGGUCAGUAGCUAAUAUCUGCUGACUGUGACGUUACUCGCAGAAGAAGCACCGGCUAACUCCGUGCCAGCAGCCGCGGUAAUACGGAGGGUGCAAGCGUUAAUCGGAAUUACUGGGCGUAAAGCGUGCGCAGGCGGUUCUAUAAGACAGAUGUGAAAUCCCCGGGCUCAACCUGGGAACUGCAUUUGUGACUGUAGAGCUAGAGUACGGUAGAGGGGGAUGGAAUUCCGCGUGUAGCAGUGA